CACAUCCAAGGAAGGCAGCAGGCGCGCAAAUUACCCAAUCCCGACACGGGGAGGUAGUGACAAUACAUAACAAUGCAGGGCCUUUAAGGUCUUGCAAUUGGAAUGAGUACAAUUUAAAUCCCUUAACGAGGAUCAAUUGGAGGGCAAGUCUGGUGCCAGCAGCCGCGGUAAUUCCAGCUCCAAUAGCGUAUAUUAAAGUUGUUGCAGUUAAAACGUCCGUAGUCAAACUUUAGUCUUACUGGCGUAGUGGCCUGGUCUUCAUUGACCAAGCUCAUUGCUGCCGGAGACUCCAUGUUCAUUAAGGGGAAUCUCUCGGGGUUCUUUUUUAUUUGAACAAUUACCAUGAGCAAAUCAGAGUGUUUAAAGCAGGCUUUUAAGCUUGAAUGUGUUAGCAUGGAAUAAUGAAAUAUGACUCUAGUCCUAUUUUCGUUGGUUUAGGUACUUCAGUAAUGAUGAAUAGAAACGGUUAGGGGCAUUUGUAUUUGGUCGCUAGAGGUGAAAUUCUUGGAUUGACCGAAGACAAACUACUGCGAAAGCAUUUGACCCGGGACGUUUUCAUUGAUCAAGGUCUAAAGUUAAGGGAUCGAAGACGAUUAGAUACCGUCGUAGUCUUAACCACAAACUAUGCCGACUAGAGAUUGGGCGUGUUUAUUAUGACUCGCUCAGCAUCUUAGCGAAAGUAAAGUUUUUGGGUUCUGGGGGGAGUAUGGGACGCAAGGCUGAAACUUAAAGGAAUUGACGGAAGGGCACCACCAGGAGUA
RNAcentral lists this ribosomal RNA (761 nucleotides) under uncultured marine eukaryote. Its description in RNAcentral is "SSU rRNA". It matches the Rfam family "Eukaryotic small subunit ribosomal RNA", at positions 411 to 1178 of the family's 1831-position model. The record is from RNAcentral.